Molecule: unclassified non-coding RNA, 352 nt
Filed under: soil metagenome
Description: partial contains 5.8S ribosomal RNA, internal transcribed spacer 2, and large subunit ribosomal RNA
Rfam family: 5.8S ribosomal RNA (bases 1-120)
Source: RNAcentral
GAUGAAGAACGCAGCGAAAUGCGAUAAGUAAUGUGAAUUGCAGAAUUCAGUGAAUCAUCGAAUCUUUGAACGCACAUUGCGCCCGCCAGUAUUCUGGCGGGCAUGCCUGUUUGAGCGUCAUUACAACCCUCAGGCCCCCGGGCCUGGCGUUGGGGAUCGGCGGAAGCCCCCUGCGGGCACAACGCCGUCCCCCAAAUACAGUGGCGGUCCCGCCGCAGCUUCCAUUGCGUAGUAGCUAACACCUCGCAACUGGAGAGCGGCGCGGCCACGCCGUAAAACACCCAACUUCUGAAUGUUGACCUCGAAUCAGGUAGGAAUACCCGCUGAACUUAAGCAUAUCAAUAGCGGAGGA